AUGCCAGCCAGAUUCCCCGUAUCUCCCCCGCUCCCUCCCCCCACCCCUACCGAGGCUGGCCUGGAAACACAGCAGCCAGUGACCACAGAGCUGGACAGAAAAGAACCCGUGGAGCCUGGCUUGGUCCUACCACCAGAAACCAUGUUUGAAGAACUCUCCCUGAUCACACUGGUGAAGACUGGCAAGGAGCAAAGGGGAAGAGGCAGAGACAUGGCAAUGCUGCUUCUCACAUUUACAGAUGGUGACGGUGGUUUGUGGGGACUUUAAUCAACUUUCCCCAUGUUACUCACCUAGUAAGUACCUGAGCCAGGGACUGAACCUGGGUCAACAAGGCUCCAAAACACUGUUUCCAUUCUACCACACUGCUCCUCAGAGGCAGGAAAAUCCCAUUAAAUGCAAAUUUGGGGCAAAAAUGAUGGCCAGAUUUUGUGUGAAUGGAUAGAAUCUUAUAUGACUCACUAAAUGGGUCUGGCAGUGUGACCUUGGAAGGAAGGACAAGAUAAGUGAAGAACUUCCUGAAAUCAUCAAGGGCACGAAGGACCAAUAUUUACUCUGUGCACGGGACCAUCCUAGAUGUUUUGAAGGAGACACAGGGCAUCCUAGAAGGUCACACUCAAGAAGCACUCCCUUCGCUGAAGGGAAAAGUUAUGCCUUAUAAUAGGGCACCUCCUGGAAACAGAAUGCAUUCAAACUACAAUUAAG
RNAcentral lists this long non-coding RNA (702 nucleotides) under Mustela putorius furo (domestic ferret). RNAcentral's name for it is "lncRNA (ENSMPUG00000025349.1)". Lineage: Eukaryota; Metazoa; Chordata; Mammalia; Carnivora; Mustelidae. The record is from RNAcentral.